RNAcentral lists this long non-coding RNA (294 nucleotides) under Medicago truncatula (barrel medic). RNAcentral's name for it is "long non-coding RNA (MTRU_LNC002438)". The record is from RNAcentral. Lineage: Eukaryota; Viridiplantae; Streptophyta; Magnoliopsida; Fabales; Fabaceae.
UUAAUUCAUUCAAAUUGGUAGAGUACAUCGAUACAAUGAAAAUUCGCUAAAAACAAAAAGGAUGAAUCUGUGAACAAACUCACAGCAUCCAUGUUAAUAAUAUAAAACGGCAAAGUACUAAAGCCUACACAUAUGACUAUAUUUAAGUCUCUGGAAUACCCAUGUCUCCGAAUUUGCAACGUUGACGACUUCAAAGUCAUUGAUUUGAUCUGCACUGGAUCGAAGCUGAUCUGACAAUCUGAACCGAACAAAUACCUGAACGAAACAAGAAAGGCAAACAACGUCGUACAAAGA